GGAUUAGUGGCGGACGGGUGAGUAACGCGUGAGUAACCUGCCUUGGAGAAGGGGAUAGCCUUUGGAAACGAAGAAUAAUACCCUAUGAUAUGAUAACAUCGCAUGAUAUUAUCAUCAAAGAUUUAUCGCUCUAAGAUGGACUUGCGUCUGAUUAGUUAGUUGGUGAGGUAACAGCUCACCAAGGCAGCGAUCAGUAGCCGGCUUGAGAGAGUGUACGGCCACAUUGGGACUGAGACACGGCCCAGACUCC
This 250-nucleotide ribosomal RNA is filed under the name uncultured Anaerococcus sp. Its description in RNAcentral is "partial 16S ribosomal RNA". It matches the Rfam family "Bacterial small subunit ribosomal RNA", at positions 89 to 339 of the family's 1533-position model. Lineage: Bacteria; Bacillati; Bacillota; Tissierellia; Tissierellales; Peptoniphilaceae. The record is from RNAcentral.